This 938-nucleotide ribosomal RNA is filed under the name Mrakia frigida. RNAcentral describes it as "LSU rRNA". It matches the Rfam family "Eukaryotic large subunit ribosomal RNA", at positions 38 to 964 of the family's 3401-position model. The record is from RNAcentral. Lineage: Eukaryota; Fungi; Basidiomycota; Tremellomycetes; Cystofilobasidiales; Mrakiaceae.
GCAUAUCAAUAAGCGGAGGAAAAGAAACUAACAAGGAUUCCCCUAGUAACGGCGAGUGAAGCGGGAUGAGCUCAAAUUUAAAAUCUGGCGGCCUCAGGUCGUCCGAGUUGUAGUCUAGAGAAUCGUUUUCCGCGUUGGCCUGUGUACAAGUCCCUUGGAACAGGGCGUCAUAGAGGGUGAGAAUCCCGUCCUUGACACAGACUACCAAUGCUUUGUGAUGCGAUCUCGAAGAGUCGAGUUGUUUGGGAAUGCAGCUCAAAAUGGGUGGUAAAUUCCAUCUAAAGCUAAAUAUUGGCGAGAGACCGAUAGCGAACAAGUACCGUGAGGGAAAGAUGAAAAGCACUUUGGAAAGAGAGUUAAACAGUACGUGAAAUUGUUAAAAGGGAAACGAUUGAAGUCAGUCAUGCUUUCCGAGACUCAGCCGAUUCUGUCGGUGUACUUCUCGGUUGGCAGGCCAGCAUCAGUUUCGAUCUGUGGAAAAGGUUGGAGGGAACGUGGCAUCCUCGGAUGUGUUAUAGCCCUUCUUCGAAUACAUAGAGCGGGACUGAGGAACGCAGCGCGCCUUUUAUUAGGUUGGCCCUCGGGUACAUACGCGCUUAGGAUGCUGGCAUAAUGGCUUUAAACGACCCGUCUUGAAACACGGACCAAGGAGUCUAACAUGUUUGCGAGUGUUUGGGUGGUAAACCCGAACGCGUAAUUAAAGUGAAUGCAGGUGGGAUCCGCAAGGAGCACCAUCGACCGAUCUGGAUCUUUUGUGAUGGAUUUGAGUAAGAGCACAUAUGUUGGGACCCGAAAGAUGGUGAACUAUGCCUGAAUAGGGCGAAGCCAGAGGAAACUCUGGUGGAGGCUCGUAGCGAUUCUGACGUGCAAAUCGAUCGUCAAAUUUGGGUAUAGGGGCGAAAGACUAAUCGAACCAUCUAGUAGCUGGUUCCUGCCGA